This 102-nucleotide ribosomal RNA is filed under the name Clostridioides difficile. The record is from RNAcentral. Lineage: Bacteria; Bacillati; Bacillota; Clostridia; Peptostreptococcales; Peptostreptococcaceae.
UGGUUAUAAUAGCAGAGAAGAUACACCUGUUUCCAUUCCGAACACAGAAGUUAAGUUCUCUAGCGCUGAUGGUACUUGGUGGGAAACUGCCCCCUACGAGUC